UUAGACACUGACACUGAAAUUCUGUCCAGCUGGAUACUGUAGCUGUAGAAAUUAACAAUCAGCUGAGGUAUUGUUGGAACAAGAGUGUCCUGAGUUGUACAGCUGGGCUGCCUCUGUGAAACAUCUGGAAGCAAACUAUCCUGCCUUCCCACAGUAGACAGUACACAUGGACAGGUUUGGUUCUUCUGUUCAUUAACUCUGGGCAGACCUCUGAGUUCUCAGUCUAUCCAUUCAGAGAGCAGGGCUGACCACGCUUCAUGGCAAGUGAUGCACGCUGCAAACCGUGUGUGCGUGUAGUGUGAGCGAGAGCCAUCGGUGUGUGUGUGUGUGUGU
This is a long non-coding RNA of Anarrhichthys ocellatus (wolf-eel), 333 nucleotides long. RefSeq lists it as uncharacterized. Lineage: Eukaryota; Metazoa; Chordata; Actinopteri; Perciformes; Anarhichadidae. The transcript has 3 exons. The record is from RefSeq and is a predicted model, not a curated record.